Molecule: ribosomal RNA, 445 nt
Filed under: Arion hortensis
Lineage: Eukaryota; Metazoa; Mollusca; Gastropoda; Stylommatophora; Arionidae
Description: partial 16S ribosomal RNA
Rfam family: Bacterial large subunit ribosomal RNA
Source: RNAcentral
AGUCACAUGCUUAUAUGUGUGAUGAUGUCAUGCCGUGUGAGUGUUUAACUGCUUUGACGGCCGCAGUACCUUGACUGUGCUAAGGUAGCAAAAUCAAUAGGCCUUUAAUUGGGGUCGGGUAUGAACGGCUUUAUGGAUUAGAGCUGUCUCUCAUAUUAUAUGAAAGUUACUUAGUAGGUGAAAAUUCCUACAUUUAAUUAUUAGACGAGAAGACCCUUAGAGUUUUUAUGAACUGCAUUUCUGAUAAUUCAUCCAUUUUUGUUGGGGCGACAAUAUAUUCAACUUAACAUAUAUACACUGGACGUGCCUUUUGAUUGAGAGAUGAAUAUAACUACCUGAGGGAUAACAGCAUAAUUUAUUUUUAAGAUUGUGACCUCGAUGUUGGACUAGGGCCUAUAAAUAGCAGUACUAUUUGUAGAAGAUUCUGUUCGAAUUUCUUUCACCU